Molecule: ribosomal RNA, 467 nt
Filed under: Prevotella sp. oral taxon 298
Lineage: Bacteria; Pseudomonadati; Bacteroidota; Bacteroidia; Bacteroidales; Prevotellaceae
Description: bacterial SSU rRNA
Rfam family: Bacterial small subunit ribosomal RNA
Source: RNAcentral
GAUGAACGCUAGCUACAGGCUUAACACAUGCAAGUCGAGGGGAAACGGCAUUAAGUGCUUGCACUUUUUGGACGUCGACCGGCGCACGGGUGAGUAACGCGUAUCCAACCUUCCCAUGACUAAGGGAUAACCUGCCGAAAGGCAGACUAAUACCUUAUGGUCUUCACUGACGGCAUCAGAUGUGAAGUAAAGAUUUAUCGGUUAUGGAUGGGGAUGCGUCUGAUUAGUUAGUUGGCGGGGUAACGGCCCACCAAGGCAACGAUCAGUAGGGGUUCUGAGAGGAAGGUCCCCCACAUUGGAACUGAGACACGGUCCAAACUCCUACGGGAGGCAGCAGUGAGGAAUAUUGGUCAAUGGGCGAGAGCCUGAACCAGCCAAGUAGCGUGCAGGAUGACGGCCCUAUGGGUUGUAAACUGCUUUUGUAUGGGGAUAAAGUCAAUCACGUGUGAUUGUUUGCAGGUACCAUA